Molecule: ribosomal RNA, 222 nt
Filed under: uncultured bacterium
Lineage: Bacteria
Description: partial 16S ribosomal RNA
Rfam family: Bacterial small subunit ribosomal RNA
Source: RNAcentral
GACGAGGGAUCCUAGCGUUGUUCGGAAUUACUGGGCGUAAAGCGUGCGCAGGCGGUUCGCUAAGACAGAUGUGAAAUCCCCGGGCUUAACCUGGGAACUGCAUUUGUGACUGGCGGGCUAGAGUAUGGGCAGAGGGGGGGUAGAAUUCCACGUGUAGCAGUGAAAUGCGUAGAGAUGUGGAGGAAUACCGAUGGCGAAGGCAGCCCCCUGGGCCCAAUACUG